Molecule: ribosomal RNA, 263 nt
Filed under: uncultured bacterium
Lineage: Bacteria
Description: partial 16S ribosomal RNA
Rfam family: Bacterial small subunit ribosomal RNA
Source: RNAcentral
UACGUAGGGGGCGAGCGUUGUCCGGAAUCACUGGGCGUAAAGGGUGCGUAGGCGGCAUAAUAAGUCAGAUGUGAAAUCCCAGGGCUUAACCCUGGAGUUGCAUUUGAAACUGUGAUGCUUGAGUGCAGGAGAGGGAAGCGGAAUUCCUAGUGUAGCGGUGAAAUGCGUAGAGAUUAGGAGGAACACCAGUGGCGAAGGCGGCUUUCUGGACUGUAACUGACGCUGAGGCACGAAAGCGUGGGGAGCGAACAGGAUUAGAUACC